UUGACCUCAAAUCAGGUAGGACUACCCGCUGAACUUAAGCAUAUCAAUAAGCGGAGGAAAAGAAACUAACAAGGAUUCCCCUAGUAACUGCGAGUGAAGCGGGAAAAGCUCAAAUUUGUAAUCUGGCGGUCUUUGGCCGUCCGAAUUGUAAACUAGAGAAGUGUUAUCCGCGCUGGACCGUGUACAAGUCCCCUGGAAUGGGGCGUCAUAGAGGGUGAGAAUCCCGUCUUUGACACGGACUACCAGGGCUUUGUGAUGCGCUCUCAAAGAGUCGAGUUGUUUGGGAAUGCAGCUCAAAAUGGGUGGUAAAUUCCAUCUAAAGCUAAAUAUUGGCGAGAGACCGAUAGCGAACAAGUACCGUGAGGGAAAGAUGAAAAGAACUUUGGAAAGAGAGUUAAACAGUACGUGAAAUUGCUGAAAGGGAAACGCUUGAAGUCAGUCGCGUUAGCGAGGGAUCAGCCUUACUUUUGUGGGGUGUACUUCCUCGUUGACGGGUCAGCAUCAGUUUUGGUUGCUGGAUAAAGGUCAGGGGAAUGUGGCAUCUUCGGAUG
This 551-nucleotide ribosomal RNA is filed under the name Hohenbuehelia grisea. RNAcentral describes it as "eukaryotic LSU rRNA". It matches the Rfam family "Eukaryotic large subunit ribosomal RNA", at positions 1 to 551 of the family's 3401-position model. Lineage: Eukaryota; Fungi; Basidiomycota; Agaricomycetes; Agaricales; Pleurotaceae. The record is from RNAcentral.